UGGAAAGAGUGUUGGAAUUUGGGGGCCAGGUUUUAAAACUGCCACAUGGGGCGUGGGAUCCAGAGGAAGGGCUGGAUUCCAGGUAUGAGGGCAAAGUGGCUGUUUGAUCUUGCUCAAAGGUAGACUAAAGGGAAGAUAAAUUGACUGUAACACUCACCAAGUCCCCAGCAUGUACCAGGUGUUGGCCCUCAUGGGCAUUAUCUCAACUUACCUUUGCAAGAACCCUCUGACACAGAUUUUUCACCACUCUUUGUAGAUGAGUACUCUGAGGCUCAGAGAGGGUGUAAGCCUUAUCCAAGGUCACAUGCUGGUGAGUGGCCAGCUUUUCCAAUUCCAGAGUUGACCCUUUAACUCCUCUGAUGGGUUGCCUCCAGAUAAGGAGCAGGGCUGGCCCCAGAGAUGUGGCAAGGUGGGUCAGGAUAAGGUAGGAGAGCAAAGAGCCAGGCUGUCACUCCCCAUCCACUCACCUCCUCCUCCAGAAGCCCUCCCAGGCAGGAAAGGGUCCCAAGACACCCUGUCCCAAGGACCCUUUCCCUCUGACACCUCCUCAGUCUGGGAUGUGCACCGAGCUUCCCCUCCGCCCUGUCUCCCAAGCUGUAUUUCUCACCCCUGAGCAGUUCCCCAAAUCCUCCCUUGUACUUCCUUGAAACCUUCCCAGGGCAUUCUCCCAAUUCCACCUGUCUUAGCCAUAAGCUGUGAAUAAUUACCAAUGUAAGGCUUUCAAUUUUCGAUAUAAAAUUUUUACUUUAGAAAAGUUUUAAAGAAAAAUGGCAAAGAUAAUACAGAGAGUUCCCAUAUUCUCCACACCCAAUUUCCCCUAUUAUCAUCAUCUUACAUUUAGUACGGUACAUUUGCCACAAUUAAUAAACUGCUAUUGAUAUCAGCCCUACAAGAUUAACAUUAUUAUUAAACUAUGUUCAUACUUUAUUCAGAUUUCCUUAGUUGUUUUUUUUUUUAACCUAAUAUCCUUUUUCUGUUCUAGGAUGCAGCAUUACAUUUGGCCAUCAUGUCUUCUUAGGUCUCCCUUGGCUGUGACAGUUUCUCAGACUUUUCUUGUUUUUGAUGAUCUUGAUGAUUUCAAGGAGUAUUGGUCAGGUAUUUUGUAGAAUGUUCCUCAGCUGGGAUUUGUCUGAUGUUUUAGGUUAUGGGUUUGAGGGAGCAAGACCUCAAAGGUGAAGUGCCACUUUCAUUACAUCCUAUCAAGAGUAUAUGCCACCACCAUGACCUGUCACUGUCGAUGUCAACUGCGUUCACAGUUAACAGAAGUAGUGUUUGUCAGGUUUCUCCACUAUGAAGUUAUUCUUUCUUCCCCUUUCCGUGUAUACUGUUUGGAGGUAAGUUGCUAUGUGGAGCCCACAUUUAAGGAGCAGGGAGCUAUGCUCAUCCUUGAGUAUCUGUGAAUAUCAUCUGCAAUUCUGUAUUUUUGUAUCUUCUCCCCCUUUUCUCUAUGUAGCCAUUUAUUUAUAUAAGUUCAAACUCAUGGAUAUUUCUCUUUUUUUUUAGAUGGAGUCUUGCUCUGUUGCCCAGGCUGGAGUGCGGUGGCAUGAUCUCGGCUCACUGCAACCUCUGCCUCCUGGGUUCAAGUGAUUAUCCUGCCUCAGCCUCCUGAGUAGCUGGGACUACAGGCGCGCGCCACCACACCUGGCUAAUUUUUUGU
RNAcentral lists this long non-coding RNA (1657 nucleotides) under Homo sapiens (human). Its description in RNAcentral is "HSALNT0302079". The record is from RNAcentral. Lineage: Eukaryota; Metazoa; Chordata; Mammalia; Primates; Hominidae.